UAAAAACCCACCUCGUACGGCUCGUAUAUUUGCUUUUAGAUUAUUUUAUUUAUUAUAUUAAUUUUGGUUCAUUCAACCUAACCUGGCAAGAUCGGGAUUACCCAUCCAGCCAUCUGACUCAUAUUCAUCGGUGAAUACGUGUCCCCACAGAUAUGGGAUAAAGUUGUCAUAAUUUUAGGCUUGCAUUUUUGGAAUAUUCCUUGCGUUGCUCACUGUAAUUUAAAAAUAAAGUCCAACUUUUCAAGUAAAAUUUUAAAGCGAGCAAGAUGGUGGAACUUUUGUGAAUUUUAUUAUUUCUUUGGAAUCAUCUUGUGUCUAGGAUAUUUCUCAUUUAUGGAAAGUAGAGGGAUUUUUGUCCUUUUUUUAAUUUUAGUUUUUCAUUAGAAAGUAUCUCGGAUAAAGAAUGUAGGAGAGACAUACGAGAGAUAUAGUGAAGAUUAAUGCAAGAGCAUUACCUUGGUAUCAAUGGAAUAAAACAAAAGUUUUUAAGGACAAUAUGAUCAGAAUAGUAAGGCUAAGCCACAAUAAAAUUAUGCAAGUGAAACGAAUUGCAAGCAUGCUUCAUUCCGACACAAAGGAAAGGAUCAGUUUGUGAGAAAUUUGUGGUUUUUUUGUAUGUUAAAAUUGUAUACAUUACCCCAAAUUUAUAAGGUUACAAAACAAUGUACGAAAUCAAUAACCUUCCUAAUAUGAGGUGCAGUAUAUAUUAAUUGCUAUAGUCGCACAUUUGUAAUUCUUAUUACCUUAAUAACUAAAGGCCAACAGUCUCUAUCUUUAGUGUAGUUUAUGUUCUUGAGAUGUUGAUUCGUUAUAGCAUUGCGAAUUGGGAAUUAGUGGGGAUUGAUGGGAUUCUUAGUUGGAACAAAUGGUUUGUCUUCAGUUCACUUUCAUUCCUUAAAUACCCCAUUCUUGCUCUAUCUUCUCCUCUCCUCUCCUCUUGACAACAAGGGCUUGAGUUGCAAGUUCAAGCACCACCUUAUAAGCCUCCUUGAAAUUUUUAACCUUGGAUUCCAAGUUUAAAUCUCAUGCUUUUUGUAGUACCUUAUAAAGUUUCAGUAGACCACACGGUUUAUUUAGGAUUGCAAAUUUUAAAAAGGGGUCUCUGUCUUUUUCCAUUUCUUCUGAAAACAAAAGAGAAAAAUCACAAAAGGAAAGUGAUGGGGAAAGUAAAAACAGCUAUAUUCUUUUCAAAUUUGAGUUGUAUGAAUAAUAAACUUCCAUUGAUUUUGAGUCCCAAGUUUUAAUUUUUCUUACUCAACCAAAAGAACAAGACCUCUACUUUUCAUGGUUCCAAAUUGAACUUCUACACAAGUUUCUACUUUUCAUGGUUCCAAAUUGAAUUUCUACACAAGUUAUAUGGGAGAGAGAGGCAAAUGUAUGUACAAGACUACAAGGUAUUAGAUUGUGUUGGGAGGUUCCACACGGAGAUGCGAGACUGGUAUUUAUACGGAUAUGACAUUAAAGGUCCCUUAGAACUCUUGAACAUAAAUCUCCUCAAAAGCUCUUGGAAAAAAUAAAAAUAAAAAUAAAAAUAAAGAAAAAAAUAAAAAGAAAAAAAAUGCUUUGGCUAAGGUUGGAGUUUCUGUACCUUCUCUUGCUAUUUCUGAUGAUGUAAUCUCAUUUUUUUAACUCCUCGCUUCUCAUUCCUAAUGUUUCGGCUGCCAUUCUCAGCUCUUCCUGCACUUUCCCAUUUUCUGGCAAUCGGAAAACCACUUUUUGGCUUAGAUUUUUGUCUUUUUGCCACUGGAAAACCACUUGUCUUCCUAAUUUUCUAUCUUUCUCCCAUUGGAAAACGGCCUGACCUCUUAAUUCUCCACUUUCUUGUCGACAGAAAACUGCCUCGCC
This 1845-nucleotide long non-coding RNA is filed under the name Amborella trichopoda. Its description in RNAcentral is "long non-coding RNA (ATRI_LNC001555)". The record is from RNAcentral. Lineage: Eukaryota; Viridiplantae; Streptophyta; Magnoliopsida; Amborellales; Amborellaceae.